This 535-nucleotide long non-coding RNA is filed under the name Eucalyptus grandis. RNAcentral's name for it is "long non-coding RNA (EGRA_LNC004628)". Lineage: Eukaryota; Viridiplantae; Streptophyta; Magnoliopsida; Myrtales; Myrtaceae. The record is from RNAcentral.
AGAAAGUAGCAACAAUGGAAGCCGUUAUGAACAAGGAAAAAGGCAUUUUAGAAGUAAGCUCGAGAGAAAAGUACUUACAUGGAGUUCUGCAUGUGUAGAAUGAGGGCACGUUUGAUCAUUUGCCAAAUAGUAAUGGCGCGUUUGGUAAUAUUUUGUUUUCAAAAUUAUCAUAAAUGGUUUUUUUUUUUUAUUCUACUAUCUGGAACAAUUUUUGAACAAAAGAAUUCGUUUGAUAAUUGUUCAAAAUUUAUAAUCUUGAGAUAGAGAUAGAAAUGUAUUUAGUAAGAUUUUAUUUUUUAAAUUUGUUUUAAUACUUUUAUUCAUUUUUUCUCUUUUUUCUUUUAUUCUUCUUCUUCCUCAUUCUUUGUAGCUAGUCGUGGCAUGGCCAACGAUCGUUUGGGUGAGAACUGGCGAGCUCAUUGGAGACUCACCUGGUCAAGGUAAGCCUCGGUCUUGUUAGAUUUGGGCAAGGCCAAGCCUCACUAGCCAUCAGUGAGGCUCGACCUCACUUAGGUGACCUGAGGUCGGCCUCAUC